This 3626-nucleotide long non-coding RNA is filed under the name Mytilus galloprovincialis (Mediterranean mussel). The record is from RNAcentral. Lineage: Eukaryota; Metazoa; Mollusca; Bivalvia; Mytilida; Mytilidae.
CUUAAAGUUAACCAUCGAGAGACGUUAACCACCGAGAGUCGGUUUUUAGACCCGCCCAGUACGCCUACUUUUGGAGCUCUUUGGUAUGAAGAUAAGAAAAGUAUACGAAAUUACGGAACUGUGUACCCUGUUUUAUCCUUGUUGUUGGUUUACAGACGACUGGAUCCCUGUUGUGUUCACUUAUCGAUACACUACGAUGGAAUUACGGACCAGUUUAACAUAAACAUGGUAAAUAGAUAGACAGCUGAUAAUCAUAAUUGAUUAAGAAAUAACCUAGAAGAAGAAAUGAGUUAACUAUUGAUUAUAACAGAGACGAGAAUGCCCUCGUGUUUGUUCUGCUAAAAAAAAUGCAGGAACAUUGGAGUUUAUGGUUAGAUUUUAAAUAUUUAUUGUCUCCAAACUGGGUAAAUUUAAUAGGCACUGGCUACGGUUACAUGGAAAUGUAACAAUAAUAAAAAUAUUAUUGUUACAUUGGGGAUUAAAUGCCGGAAUGCAUGGUUGGAUAAGAACCGAUUAAUUACGAAUGUAACAAAAUUAUUUGAGGCUACGGUUACAUUGCGUUAUUGUUACAUGAAAAACAGCAAUGUUCGAUGGGACUAGUAAUAUGUACUAAAUAAUAAAAGUUGAAGACAUUAUCGUAUAUUUACAAUACAUACAAGUAUAACAUACAAUGUUUUAAUUUUUUUUAUAGUACGUCCUCCAUGGAUUCUGAAAUCGGACUCUGACAUCUCUUAAACGGGUGAGUUUUACUAUGCGUAUUGUUGUGAGUUUAUUUUUUCUACAUUGGCUAGAGGUAUAGGGGAGGGUUGAGAUCUCAUAAACAUGUUUAACCCCGCCGCAAUUUUGCGCCUUUCUCAAGUCAGGAUCCUUUGCAUGGCCUUUGUAAGUCUUGUAUGAUUUUUUAAUGUUAGUUUCUUGUGUAUAAUUCGGAGUUUAGUAUGACCUCCAUUAUCACUGAACUAGUACACAUAUUUGUUUAGGGGCUAGCUGAAGGACGCCUCCGACGGGUGCGGGAGUUUUUCGCUACAUUGAAGACCCAUUGGUGACCUUCGGCUGUUGUCUACUCUAUGUUCGGGUUGUUGUCGCUUUGGCACAUUCCCCAUUUCCAUUCUCAAUUGUAUACAUGUAUACAGAAGUUCACAGUGUUAGUUCACAGUUAGCAAACUUUGCGUUUGAUGUAUCAAUUUUUGGUAAGUGCGUUUGUAUAGCUGUAUGAAAUUUGUGUCUUGAUAUUGUUUCAGUUUCGUUUCAAACGCAUCCCAUGCAAGUUUUAAAUUUUUCACCAAACAAAAUUGGUAAUAGGAAUCUCUUCGUCUUUUGUUCAAAGUAUAAUUACAGUAAUACGAGUAGGUGUGCAGUUAAAUACUUAAAAGUGAACAGUUUUCUCAGCCCGAGUUUUCAACAACAAACCAUUGAACUAUAUGUUUCGCCUUUGACACUACUAAUUUGAAGUAGUAUCUUUAAGAACAUCAAAUCCAUUAAUACUUAAAACUAUUUAAACACCAUUUGUUGAAUAAUAAUAGUUAUUAUUUAUUAUUAUAACAAGUAUUAUUUAGUAGACAUGAAUGAAUUAAGCAACAAAACUAUAUAGAAGAUUUAAGUUUAAUAACAAGUUUAAUAAUCUAGCUUACAUUGCUGUUUUUCAUGUAACAAUAACGCAAUGUAACCGUAGCUCAAUAAUUAUUGCUACAUAGUAAUUAAUCGUUCCUUACCCAACUUUGCAUUCCGGCAAUUAGUCUCCAAUGUAACAAUAAUAUUUUUAUUAUUGUUACAUUUCCAUGUAACCGUAGCCAGUGCCAAAUUAAGCAUGAUAAAUAUCCCAACAUUUGCAUUUAUUUUAAAAUAACUCGAGAACCACAAAUCGCGCUCGCAGAACAAAGUAACAAUAAGAAAUAAUUAUUGUUAAUUUCAAGAAUAAUUAAUUGUCAAAACUUAUCCCCUCCCCGACAUCAAAGGAAGUUAAAUGUAUUGUUAUCCCAAAAUUAGACCAAAUUAUUAUGAUUUAUUAACCAAAUAAGUACAUUAUUGCCAAAAAUGACUAUUUUAAAAAUUACAUAUUUUCUGAAUGCCCUGUUUUCUGUAAUGGCCCUGUUUUUUCUGUAAUGGCCUGUUUUUUGUAAUGGUCCUGUUUAUUCCCAGUUCUGUAUUAAGCCAGUUAGGUUUUUUUUAAUAAAGUUAAUAAAAUAAGUUGUAAAGAGUAUAACACCUUUUGUAUUUUUUUAUUAGUAACACAGCAACUAACAUUAAAGAACCAUAUAAAGGGAUCACUGUUAUCCGUGUUUUUCAACAAAUAACUUCUUUCAACUUUAUUUGGAUAUUUGGUAUAUUUAAAGCUAUCAUGAUGAAGUACAAAUUAUUUUUUUUCAAACUACACUGUCAUUAAAAGAGUAAGAGAGUACAUCAAGUUGUAGUAACACAUUACUUUGUUCAGUUGGUUAAUAAAUGUAUUAAGAAUGGGUGUUUUUAUAAUGGCCUGUUUAUAUGUCCUCGUCAGUAAUAAUGGCCUCGGAUGUCUGAAAUGGCCCUCGGCGUUGCCUCGGGCCAUUACAGACUUCCUCUACCAUUAUUACAGACCUUGGACAUAUAACAGGGCCAUUAUAAAAACACCCAUUCAUUAAUACUAUAAUAAUGACGUCUUGACAGGCUAUUAUUUUAUUUUGUUUUGUUGGUUUUUUUCUUUGACGUCUUCCUCCUGUAUGAAAAAAACAUAAUAGACACCCCCCCUUUCCCCAUAAUAUAGCUUUUUUAAGAAGUCAUAAUUUUUGGACUACCCCUGAAUAUAUCAACAGACUCUUCUCUAAAAAAAUGUAAACUUGAUUGAGAGAAAUCUUUGGAAUAGUUUUUAAAUGAUUUUAAUUAUUGUCAUGUAUAUAAUUGACAUUAACAUAGUUAUAAACUGAGACUACUAAUAUAACACAUAGUGUUAUAGUAGUCUCAGCUUUAAACUUUCAUUGGUAUUGACCAAUAUGACUAACUCAUAGGCUCUUUCCCAUAAAUGUCACAAUAUCAAUAUAUUACAGUAAAACUGAUAGUUUUAUGACAUUGUUUAAGACUAUUGACCUCAGGUCAGCCUAAAAUUAAACCUAAGGCAUAAAAUACUUAGUGUGCAGAAAGUGCCACCAAAUAAAUACUGAUUUGUAAAAUUAGAUGAUGAUAUUUGCGAAGUCAAAGAUAUUAUAGCUAGUUAUAACUGGUUUUAGAUAUAAAUCUGAGUAAAAGGUUGAUUUAUAUGUGCUCUUUCAUGUUUAGAUUAUAAUUUAAAUUUAAUCUUUUGAAGUUUUUUAUAAAAUAUUAAGACAUUAAAAUCACAAUUAUUUAUUUAUACACAAAAAAAUAAAUUUUGUCCUUUUUUAGUUGAAUGACUGUACACAAACAUUAUACACAAAUAAUUUUGAUAAUUCUGUAAUGUUUUUUUUCUAUAGCCCCAGAAUGGUUAAAACAGUGACAAAAGACUUAUUAAUCCAGAUUUACAAAAAAUAGAAAUAGUUCAGCUACCAUAAGACUGCUACGACAAACAUUCUGCAGUUUCCAGAAUUUGAGGUAGAGUAUAGUUAGGAAUAGUUUGAAUAUGCAGAUGCUUAGUUUGCCAUAAACAAUUAUGCCCUUGAUACAAAAGCAGAGGAAAC